RNAcentral lists this ribosomal RNA (405 nucleotides) under uncultured bacterium. RNAcentral describes it as "partial 16S ribosomal RNA". It matches the Rfam family "Bacterial small subunit ribosomal RNA", at positions 30 to 526 of the family's 1533-position model. The record is from RNAcentral.
AUUGAACGCUGGCGGCAGGCUUAACACAUGCAAGUCGAACGAGUGGCGGACGGGUGAGUAAUGCUUGGGAAUCUAGCUUAUGGAGGGGGAUAACUACGGGAAACUGUAGCUACUACCGCGUACCAUAGGAUGAGCCCAAUUGGGAUUAGGUAGUUGGUGAGGUAAAGGCUCACCAAGCCGACUGUCUCUAGCUGGUCUGAGAGGAUGACCAGCCACCCUGGGACUGAGACACGGCCCAGCCGCCUACGGGAGGCAGCAGUGGUGAAUAUUGCGCAAGGGGUGCAACCUGAUGCAGCCAUGCCGCGUGUAUGAAGAAGGCCUUAGGGUUGUAAAGUUCUUUCGGUAGCGAGGCGUUAACUACAGAAGAAGCACCGGCUAACUCCGUGCCAGCAGCCGCGGUAAUAC